This 502-nucleotide ribosomal RNA is filed under the name uncultured bacterium. RNAcentral's name for it is "partial 16S ribosomal RNA". It matches the Rfam family "Bacterial small subunit ribosomal RNA", at positions 30 to 523 of the family's 1533-position model. The record is from RNAcentral.
AUUGAACGCUGGCGGCAGGCUUAACACAUGCAAGUCGAGCGGGGUGAUGGUGCUUGCACUAUCACUUAGCGGCAGACGGGUGAGUAAUGCUUAGGAAUCUGCCUAUUAGUGGGGGACAACAUCUCGAAAGGGAUGCUAAUACCGCAUACGUCCUACGGGAGAAAGCAGGGGAUCACUUGUGACCUUGCGCUAAUAGAUGAGCCUAAGUCGGAUUAGCUAGUUGGUGGGGUAAAGGCCUACCAAGGCGACGAUCUGUAGCGGGUCUGAGAGGAUGAUCCGCCACACUGGGACUGAGACACGGCCCAGACUCCUACGGGAGGCAGCAGUGGGGAAUAUUGGACAAUGGGGGAACCCUGAUCCAGCCAUGCCGCGUGUGUGAAGAAGGCCUUAUGGUUGUAAAGCACUUUAAGCGAGGAGGAGGCCCUUUUGGUUAAUACCCAAGAUGAGUGGACGUUACUCGCAGAAUAAGCACCGGCUAACUCUGUGCCAGCCGCCGCCGUAA